RNAcentral lists this ribosomal RNA (253 nucleotides) under uncultured bacterium. RNAcentral's name for it is "partial 16S ribosomal RNA". It matches the Rfam family "Bacterial small subunit ribosomal RNA", at positions 524 to 776 of the family's 1533-position model. The record is from RNAcentral.
UACGAAGGGGGCGAGCGUUGUUCGGAAUCACUGGGCGUAAAGCGCACGUAGGCGGAUUGUUAAGUCGGGGGUGAAAUCCUGGAGCUCAACUCCAGAACUGCCUUCAAUACUGGCGAUCUCGAGUUCGGGAGAGGUCAGUGGAACUGCGAGUGUAGAGGUGAAAUUCGUAGAUAUUCGCAAGAACACCAGUGGCGAAGGCGGCUCACUGGCCCGAUACUGACGCUGAGGUGCGAAAGCGUGGGGAGCAAACAGG